GCAGAGGAGCCCAGCCCUGCAUUCCCAGCCGUUCCCUUCAGUGACCAGCACUGAACAGACUCACCAUGGAGCUGGGGCUGAGCUGGCUUUUCCUUUUCACGCUUUUACAAGGUGUCCAGUGUGAGGUGCAGCUGGUGGAGUCUGGAGGAGGCUUGGUGCUGCCUGGGGGAUCCCUGAGACUCUCCUGUGUGGCCUCUGGAUUCACCUUCAGUGACUACUGGAUGCACUGGGUCCGCCAGGCCCCAGGGAAGGGGCUGGAGUGGGUCUCAUACAUAAGUGGUAGUGGUGGUACCACACACUACGCCAACUCCGUGAAGGGCCGAUUCACCGUCUCCAGAGACAAUGCCAAGAACACCCUGUACCUGGACAUGAGCAGUCUGAGAUCUGAGGACACCGCCCUGUAUUACUGUACAAGAGACACAGUGAGGGAAAGUUCCUUUUCAGACUUCCAGGAGGGUGUGACUUACGAAGAAACGGCUUCUCAUAACCCACACGGCUUUCAAGCCCCACCCGUAGUGUCCAUCAGCUUGUAUGUGCCAAGCGCCGUGGGCACCAUCUCACCCCAUGGUCUGAGUGCCUCAUCUCAUCCUGCAGAGCCCGGAGACGAGCGAGGCAUCUGUGCAUGUCGUCUCGCCCUGCCAUUCCAUUCGGCUUCCCCGCAGGCAGCACACUUCACUCCCUAG
Non-coding RNA from Nannospalax galili (Upper Galilee mountains blind mole rat), 683 nucleotides. NCBI's taxonomy places the organism in Eukaryota, Metazoa, Chordata, Mammalia, Rodentia, Spalacidae. The record is from the annotation of a RefSeq genome assembly.